UCUCCACACAGAGGAGGAGCCUUGAUCUGGAGCACACCCGGAAGUACCUAAAGUAGCUCACUGCAGACUGGAUUUCAAUACUUCCCUGAAACAUGACAACAGAUGUACCAUAAUGAGGUGAAAGUCGCAUGUUUAUGCCUCGGAUGGUGCGAAGAUUGUGCGAUCCCUGUGAAUCUUACAAGUAGCUCAUGCUUCUUUGACAGAGCCUCUCUGAUCCGCUGCAGCUAAGCCUCCCUGUCUGCUUCGCCAUGCCGCUGAUGUUGGACGCAGUGUGGGCGCUGUGGAGCAUUGGAGCUGGCAUCUACGACUACUUUCACACCAGUGCCAUGGAGGCGAGGAUCCACACGCUGGAAAACGUCCUCUCUAUCCACCAGUUUGUGAUCGCAGGCCUGUCGGCGGGCCUCAUCCUGCUCAUGACUUACAUACUCUGGAGAAAACACUGAAACCCCAUUGACCAAGGCCAAACACCCACUAGACAUCUUACCAGGGUAGUUUCCAUCCUGAUGCUGUCCUGACAGUUUGGAUUAUGUGACUGCUCACACUUGAAGAUCAAGCAUGUUCAGCAUCGAUCAGGACGUCCCAGAUGAGGUCAGGAGCACUGAUGGGAAACUAAACCGUGCAACAAAGCUCCAUAAAGACUCCGAAAACUGGUCCAGUACCCUUCGGGUUGUGGGUGCUUGGUCUGUGCAUCCAUCUGUCUGUGUGUCUCUGUGUUUUGGAUGUCAAACUGGCCUGAGUAAUAAUAAUAAUAAUACAAAAGCAUAACAGCUUCUCAAGGCAACUUUGCACUUUUUCCACCAAGCUUGAAGGACUUCACUGUCUAGAAAAACCUCUGAGAUGAUUCAUUUAAACACCUUCCCAGUGUGUGAUGAGGGGUGAGGACGUUUGGUCAGCGGAGACGCUUUAGAAUUUAAAACUUUGGAUUUGUUACAGAACGCAAGUGUUAAUGCGGUUGCUUCUAAGUUUCUUUAACCCGUUAUCACAAGCUCACAACAUACUGUAAUUACCUCAAGAUCAGCUGUUUUCUCAUGUUUACAAAUUAGUCAUGUUACUUUUUCUCAUCUGUUUUUAGUGCUUAUUAACUUCUCAUUGUCUUGACAUAACUUAUAUCACGACUUAAUUAUCUUGAGAUAAUGGUGGUCAUAAGAUACAUGUGCCUGUGUAGAUGAGCCUGUUAUCAGGAGAUAUUUAGACUUUUAACUCCACUGAACAGUGUCUAAAGAAAACGGUUAAAUCUCUAUCUUCAGAUAUUUGUCUUAAAAAAAAAAUUAAGUUGUGAUCUUGAGACAGCAGGCUUACAUUUUUUUUAUCACUGAUGGUGGAUGCUCUCUGUUUUAAUGAUACCCUACUUUCUUUGGGCUGGGGGGACCAUUCCCCACCAAUGAUUUUCAAAAGUAAAUUAAGUAAAAAUUGUUUCUUCUCUAACAGGUUUUAAUGGGAUGGGGAUGGCAAUAUUUAACUCCUAAGUAAAUGGUGUGUUUCACUUUUUUAAAGUUGUCAGGUCAUGAUGUUGUAUGGGAAUGUGUGGCUGUGGUCAGUAAAACUGGGUUACACUAUUACUACUACAUUAUUCUCCUGGUUCCAAGUGGAAGACCCACAAUAACAGGAUAAAACACACCAUUAAGAAGUUCAAACACUUGGAAAUCCUUUUAUCCAUUAUGUGAGUUAUUGUUUCUUUAGCCUAGAAGGGAUUGGUGAUGUAGGAUGAAGGUCUGAUGUGUUUUGUGUGUGUUUAAUUUGUUCCUGCUUACGUUCAUAGUCAGUGUACUGUAUGCAGUAUUACAGAAAGUCUGACUAACCACUACCACCACUACUGUUGAAGGGAAUAUGUUUGAAUAAUAAAUCAUAACUUAAGUCCAA
Long non-coding RNA from Sebastes umbrosus (honeycomb rockfish), 1860 nucleotides. RefSeq lists it as uncharacterized. The record is from RefSeq and is a predicted model, not a curated record. NCBI's taxonomy places the organism in Eukaryota, Metazoa, Chordata, Actinopteri, Perciformes, Sebastidae. The transcript is spliced from 2 exons.